RNAcentral lists this long non-coding RNA (3785 nucleotides) under Sus scrofa (pig). Its description in RNAcentral is "lncRNA (ENSSSCG00025043817.1)". The record is from RNAcentral. Lineage: Eukaryota; Metazoa; Chordata; Mammalia; Artiodactyla; Suidae.
UUUUUUUUGUUUGUUUUUGUUUUUUUUUUGGUGUUCUCUGAGCUUCCUGGACCUCUGAGUUGGUAGAUGACAUUAAUUUGGGAAAUUUUUCAGUUAUUCUUGCUUCAAAUAUUUCUUCUGCUUCUUCCUCUCUUCUUCUGGCAUUCCUAUUAUUCAUAUGUUACAUUAAUGCAUAUGCUUAUAUAGUUGUCCCACAGUUAUUAGAUAUUCUACUGCUUUUUUUUUAAUUCUUUUUUUUUUUUCUGUUUGCUUUUCCCUUGUGGAAAUUUCUGUUGAAAUGACCUUAAAUUCAGAGAUUCUUUCCUCCACUUCAUCCAGUUUACCAAUAAGCCAUCAAAGACAUUCUUUAUUUCUGUUACAGUGUUUCUUUUGGUUCUUUCUUAGAAUUAUCAACUCUUUUCUAAUAUUGCCACCAUUCUUGCAUGCUGUCUAUCUAUCCAUCUGAGCACUUAGUGUAUGAAUCAUAGUUGUUUUAAAUUCCUGGUCUGGUAAGACUGACAUCCCAACUAUAUCUGAGUCGGGGUUUGAUGCUUGCUCUGCCUUUCAAAUGAUGUCUUUUACUUUUCAGUGUCCCUUGUAAUUUUUCUUGAAAGCCAGACAUAAUGUACUGGGUAAAAAGAACAUCUGCAAAUAAACCUUUAGUAAUGUGGCUGUAUAGCAUGGAGGCAAGGGGAACAUUCUAUAACUUUAUGAUUAAAUCUCAGUCUUUUCGUCAGUCUGUGCCUCUUGACUGUGACCUUUACCUGUGUUUCUCAGUCCUUCCCCCGCCCCCAUAAGUGGGAUGGCAUGGCUAGAUCAGGCUGGAGCUGGGUAUUUCCCUUCCGCUAGACCAGUUAGCUUCUGAUAAAACCACUGCAGGCUAGGCUCUGGUUUAACUAUUUUCUCCAGAGGGCUGACCUUGUUAAGAAGAAAAGAAUGGGUUCUUUCCCUUCCCCCUGCCAGAAAUAUUUAUGGCUGAAUCAUUCUGUUGGAUAGCAGAAAUUAACACAGCAUUGUAAAUCAACUAUACUUCAAUAAAAUUAAUUUAAAAAAGAAUUUGGAGGGGAACACUGUAAAGGAACAAAGAUAAGAGUUACACCUGACUUCUUUUCAGAAACCAGGCAAGCAACAACAGAGUAUAGUGAGGUAUUUAAAAUGCUGAGAGGAAAAAAACAACAAACACCCAAACUACAAUGCCCUGUGCAAUUCUAUGCCAUAUGCAAUUAUCCUUCAAAAGUGAAGGAGAAAUAAAACAAAACAAAAACAAAUAAAAGAAAAUAGAAGGAAUUUGUUGCCAGUAGAUCUUCCUUGUGAGAAAUGUUAAAAGGAAUUCUUUGGAGAAAAGAAAAAUCAUAUAGGUAAGAAAUUCAUAUCUACAUAAAGAAAGGAAAGCACAGGAUAAGAAAUAAGUGAAGGCAAAAUAAAAACUUUCACUUGUCUUAUUCUUAAUUGUUUUAACAGAUAACAGUUUAUUCAAAAUAAUAAUAUAUAUGACUAUGUAUGUUCCUGUGUAUAUGAUAGAUGUACAUAUAGAAUGCAUAUGCUUAUGUACAAGUAAAAUGAAUGACAGCACCGAUGCAAAAGAUGGGAGGUAGGUUUUAGGGUUAUUUUGCUAUUGUAAAGCAUCAUAUGACCCAGCAAUUCCACUCUUGGGCAUCUAUCCAGAGAAAACCACAAUUGAAAAAGAUAGAUGCACCCCGAUGUUCAUUGCAGCACUAUUUACAAUAGUCAAGACAUGGAAACAACCUAAGUAUCCACCAACAGAGGAAUGGAUAAAGAAGAAGUGGUACAUAUAUGCAAUGGAAUAUUACACAACCAUAAAAAGAAUGAAAUAAUGCCAUUUGCAGCAACAUGGGUGGACCUAGAGAUUGUUAUAUUAAAUGAAGUUAGACAGUGAUAGACAAACAUCAUAUGAUAUCACUUUUAUAUGGAAGCUAAAAAAAACGAUAGAAAUGAACUUAUUUGCAGAACAGAAAUAGACUCAUGGACUUUGAAGACAAACUUAUGGUUACUAAAGGGGACAAGUGGAUGGGGAGGGAUGGACUGGGGGUUUGGGACUGGCAUGUGCACACUGUGGUAUAUGGAAUGGCUGGCCAACAAGAACCAACUGUAUAGCACUGGGAACUAUAUCCAAUGUUCUGUGAUAAUCUAUAUGGGAAAAGAAUACGAAAAAGAAUGAGUAUGUGUAUUAUAAAACUGAAUCACUUUGUUGGACAGCAGGUAUUAUCACAACAUUGUAAAUCACCUACAAUAAAACUUUAAAAAAUGAAAAAUAAAUAAAGCACAUUACCAAUGAAGGGGUAUAAUGUUAUCUGAAAGUAGACUUAGGUCAAUUGUAAAUGUGUAUUGUACACUCAAGGGCAAUGACUAAAAAAAAAAAAAGGUACUACUAUGCUAAGAAAGAAGAGAAAGUUGAACUAGAAAAUGCUCAAUUAACUUCAAAAGACAGAAAAAUAGUAUAAAAGAAAAAAAAUGCCAAUACAUGCAAAAUAACAACAAAUAUGGCAGAUCAAUCCAAUUGCAUCAAUCAUCACUUUGAAUGUUAAUGGUCUAAAUGUACUAAUUAAAGGAUAGAACUUGUCAAAGUAGAUUAAAAAACAGACCUAACUAUGUGUUGUUUACAGGAAAUGUACUUUAAAAAUAAAGACACAUAUACAUCUAAAGUAAAUAGAGAAAGAUGUACCAUACUAAUAUGAAUCAAAAGAAAGUGAGACUAGCUAUAUUAUUUAUAAUAGAGCAGACUUUAUGAUUUUUUUCUUUUGUCUUUUUAGGGCCAUACCCAUGGCAUACGGAGGUUCCCAGGCUAGGAGGGGUAGAAUUGGAGCUAUAGCUUCUGGAGGAGUAGAAUUGGAGCUACAGCCACAGCAACGCCAGAUCCAAGCCAUGUCCGCGACAUACACCACAGCUCACAGCCAACACUGGAUCCUUAACCCACUGAGCAAGGAUGCAGCGUGUCCGUGAGCUGUGGUGUAGGUCACAUAGGCAGCUCAGAUCCAGCGUUUCUGUGUCUGUGGUGUAGGCUGGCAGCUACAGCUCCACAUGCUAUGGCUGCAGCCCUAGAACAACAACAACAACAACCCCCCCAAAACCUAAAAGAUCUUUAUGGACAGAUAGAUGAAUCCACUAUCAUAGUGGGAGACAUCAGGAUCCCUCUCUCAGAAAUGAGUCCAACAUGCAGAAUACCAUCCAUCAAUGGAUACCCUUGGCACCCAAAGGCCAUUUUACCCACAGUGACAGAACACAUAUUCUUCUCAAGCUCACAUGGAACAUUCACCAAGAUAGAGCACAUUCUUCGGCAUAAAACACACCUUACAAAUUCAAAAUAACUGAAAUUAUACAAUAUUUCUUUCAGAACACAGUAAAAUUAAGCUGGAAAUCAAUAGCUGAAAUAUGGCUAAAAAAAAUCCCCUAACACAUUGCUUAGAAACACAUGGGUUAAAUAAAAAAGUCUCAGGAAAAAUAAAAUAAUAUUUUGAACCAAAUAAAAAUGAAAACAGUGUAUCGAAAUCUGUGGGAUUCGGUGAAAGUGGUGCUUAGAGAGAAAUGUGUAGUCUUUUCCUGAUUUUGAUAUUUGGUACUGAGUGCAGGGAGGGACGGAUGAAUAGAGCAGAGGAUUUUUAAGGCAGUGAACAUUCUCAGUAUGAUACAAUAAUGGUGGAUGAACGUCAGUACACAUUUGAUGUGCAUCAAACCCAUAAAAUGUAACGCCAAGGAUGAACCAUAAGGUAAAGUACGAACUUUGGAUGAUUACCGUGUGUCCAUGUAGGUUCACCCUCGGCAAAAAAAAAAAAAAAAAAAAAAAAAAA